GAUUAAGCCAUGCGAGUCGAGAGUCUAGGACUCGGCAUACUGCUCAGUAACACGUGGAUAACCUGCCCUGUACUGGAGGAUAACCUCGGGAAACUGAGUAUAAUACUCCAUAGACCACAAUGCCUGGAACGGUUUGUGGUUCAAAUGCCCCGGCGGUACAGGAUGGGUCUGCGGCGUAUCAGGUAGUAGGGGGUGUAAAGGACCUCCUAGCCAUUGACGCGUACGGGUUGUGGGAGCAAUAGCCCGGAGAUGGAUUCUGAGACACGAAUCCAGACCCUACGGGGUGCAGCAGGCGCGAAAACUUCACACUGCGGGAAACCGUGAUGAGGGGACUCCAAGUGUUAGCACAAUGUGCUAUCUUUUCUUGACUUUUAAUAGGUCUUGGAAUAAGGGCUGGGAAAGACCGGUGCCAGCCGCCGCGGUAAUACCGGCGCCUCAAGUGGUCGUCGCUUUUAUUGGGCCUAAAACGUCCGUAGCCUGUCUGGUAAACCCGUGGGUAAAUCAACGAGCUCAACUCAUUGACUUCUGCGGAGACUGCCAGACUAGGGACCGGGAGAGGUGUAGGGUACUCAUGGGGUAGGGGUAAAAUCCUGUCAUCCCAUGAGGACCACCUGUUGCGAAGGCGCUACACUAGAACGGAUCCGACGGUCAGGGACGAAGCCUAGGGGCACGAACCGGAUUAGAUACCCGGGUAGUCCUAGGUGUAAACGCUGUGGACUUGGUGUUGGGGAUCCGACAGGGGUUCCCAGUGCCGGAGCGAAGGUGUUAAGUCCACUGCCUGGGGAGUACGGUCGCAAGGCUGAAACUUAAAGGAAUUGGCGGGGGAGCACCGCAACGGGAGGAGCGUGCGGUUU
Molecule: ribosomal RNA, 854 nt
Filed under: uncultured archaeon
Lineage: Archaea
Description: bacterial SSU rRNA
Rfam family: Archaeal small subunit ribosomal RNA
Source: RNAcentral